Long non-coding RNA from Synchiropus splendidus (mandarinfish), 913 nucleotides. RefSeq lists it as uncharacterized. The transcript is spliced from 5 exons. The record is from RefSeq and is a predicted model, not a curated record. Lineage: Eukaryota; Metazoa; Chordata; Actinopteri; Syngnathiformes; Callionymidae.
GUAGCGUUUCUUUUCGACUGUGUUAAUCCCGUCGACGAGUUCUAUCCAGUUGAUGAAAACUCCAGCCGGCUAAAGCUAAUGAUGCUACUUCCGCCGACACGUUUGUCAACAAACGCAGCAGGUAUCAGGAGAGAAAGUGGCUCUUUUAAAUAUCGCAAGCUGCUGAGGUUGUGCAUCGCUGACCUUCAUGGAGCCGCAGCCGCCCUGCAGAUCUCAGCUAAACAAUGCGGCUCUUGUGAAGGUGGUCAUGUGAUCCGAACUGUGACGUGUGGUGCCGGGAAAGCUGUCGGUGACUGACGUGAGUCUGUCGGCAGCUCCAUCUUCAAAGGCUUUACAUGAAAACGUGAAGCAGUGAAUCUGAGCGCUAAAGACAAAUAAAGUUUUCUUCAUCUCACGCGUGAGUCACCCUCACACACGCUCCUCUCGGACCUCCGGAGGAUCAACAACAAGUCUGGAGACCCUUCCCAUCUUCUCGGCACGACCCCCCGCCGCAGAAUUCCUGCCGAGGUUAUUCCCGAGCAAAAGAGGGAAAACACGUUGGAGGAAUAAAACGACAACAAGCCGGUCUCCUCCCACCGGAGCCGACAGCCCCGCCCUCUGGAAUUCACCGACCCACGCCCCUCCUCCCCCUCCAGGCCUGGGCCUGUUGAGGAGGAUGCUGGUGGAGGCCUCACCGCAGCACACACGGCGAGGGUUUGGGUCACGAGGUCGGACGCUGGUGUCAGGAGUUAUCCGUCGCUCAGAUCCUGACAGUCCGCGACCAGACGGGAUGUAAAUAAAGUUUGUCUCAAGCUGGAAAAUGUUCUCAGCAGUAAAGGUUUCUACUGGUGACAGCAGCGAGUGGUCAGCUUCAGUGUGUCAGCAGUGUCACUCUGGACUGAAGGCAAAAUGGAUUUUGAAAUCGCUGAGAAUA